CAGCAGCCACGGUAAUACGUAGGUGGCAAGCGUUGUCCGGAAUUAUUGGGCGUAAAGCGCGCGCAGGUGGUUUAAUAAGUCUGAUGUGAAAGCCCACGGCUCAACCGUGGAGGGUCAUUGGAAACUGGGAAACUUGAGUGCAGAAGAGGAGAGUGGAACUCCACGUGUAGCGGUGAAAUGCGUAGAGAUGUGGAGGAACACCAGUGGCGAAGGCGACUCUCUGGUCUGUAACUGACGCUGAGGAGCGAAAGCGUGGGGAGCGAACAGGAUUAGAUACCCGCGUAGUCCCUGUCUCUUAUAC
RNAcentral lists this ribosomal RNA (301 nucleotides) under uncultured bacterium. RNAcentral describes it as "partial 16S ribosomal RNA". It matches the Rfam family "Bacterial small subunit ribosomal RNA", at positions 509 to 807 of the family's 1533-position model. The record is from RNAcentral.